AGUAGGGUCUGCUAAGUAAGCCCUUGGGCCCAUACCCCAAGUAUGUAGGUUAAAAUCCUUCCUCUACUA
Molecule: transfer RNA, 69 nt
Filed under: Scomberoides lysan (doublespotted queenfish)
Lineage: Eukaryota; Metazoa; Chordata; Actinopteri; Carangiformes; Carangidae
Description: tRNA-Met
Rfam family: tRNA
About the family: Transfer RNA (tRNA) molecules are approximately 80 nucleotides in length. Their secondary structure includes four short double-helical elements and three loops (D, anti-codon, and T loops). Further hydrogen bonds mediate the characteristic L-shaped molecular structure. tRNAs have two regions of fundamental functional importance: the anti-codon, which is responsible for specific mRNA codon recognition, and the 3' end, to which the tRNAs corresponding amino acid is attached (by aminoacyl-tRNA synthetases). tRNAs cope with the degeneracy of the genetic code in two manners: having more than one tRNA (with a specific anti-codon) for a particular amino acid; and 'wobble' base-pairing, i.e. permitting non-standard base-pairing at the 3rd anti-codon position.
Source: RNAcentral